AGCUGCAGCCGCCAUGAGGCCUCCCCUCAGCUCCUCUGCUCUGGGCUGAGGAAACCCAGGGGCCUCAGCUGCUCUUCGUAAGUCUUGCCCUCCACGCCCUUUGUAGGCCUCCUUUGGGCACUCUGUAGUAGUUUUAUGUCCGUUUCAUACUGUGACUCCCCACACUAACAGCAACUGAGAAAACACUAACAUUUAGCAAGAUGAUUGCUAGUGUUUCUAUUCUCCGCCUCCACUGUCAGCAUUGAGCCCGAGCCUUUGGUUUCUAGGAAACAUCAUGUAAUUUCCACCUGCAACAGACAUUACUUCUCAGAUCAAGCAGGAUUUCACAUCAAGUAUUAGCUAAAGCUUAGGAAAACUAAGGCUCCAAAACCACUCCUUCUAAAUGGGGUGGACUUCCUAAGCGGAGUGGGUGGCUUAGCAAAUGCUGCCAGGUUUAUGUUUGUAAAUGCUCUUCCCCAUGCUCUUCCUCCAAUCGGGUAAAUAUGAAAACAAAUGUUCUCUCUCUUUGGCUCUUUAUAUCAGCAGGAAAUAAUUCCUCAGUGAUCUCUUCAAAUUAAUGCCUCACCUUUACCUUGAGUAUCUCACCAGCCUCAUCUUCUCUUGUUUGCAGGAUUUUUGCAAAGAGCUCAUCUGAGGAAGAGGGAAACACCCCCAGAACUUCAAAAAGGGUACACAGGCAUCCUGCAGACGUGGACCCCAGACAACUAACUGCUGAAGCCUCUCACGUACGUGAGGUUCACCUCAAAGUGCUGUUGAAACAAUCACAGGAUCAUAGAAGGCCGGAAAAGACCAGUAAGACCAUGCAGUCCAACUGUCAAUCCACUACCACCAUGCCCACUAACCCACAUCUCUCAGUGUGACAUCUACAUCUUGAAAACCUCCAGGAACAGUGACUCCACCACCUCCGUGGGCACCCUGUUCCAACAUCUCACCACAGCCGGAGAAGAAAUUUUUCCUCAUAUCCAACCUGAACUGCUGCAACUUAAAGCCAUUCCCUGUCAUUCUGGAAUGAAUGGAAGAAAAGGCUGACCCCCAC
RNAcentral lists this long non-coding RNA (1036 nucleotides) under Gallus gallus (chicken). Its description in RNAcentral is "lncRNA (ENSGALG00010000867.1)". Lineage: Eukaryota; Metazoa; Chordata; Aves; Galliformes; Phasianidae. The record is from RNAcentral.